AAGACCUUGCGCUUUUGGAGCGGCCGAUGUCUGAUUAGCUAGUUGGUGGGGUAAAGGCCUACCAAGGCAUCGAUCAGUAGCUGGUCUGAGAGGACGACCAGCCACACUGGGACUGAGACACGGCCCAGACUCCUACGGGAGGCAGCAGUGGGGAAUUUUGGACAAUGGGGGCAACCCUGAUCCAGCCAUGCCGCGUGAGUGAAGAAGGCCUUCGGGUUGUAAAGCUCUUUCAGCCGGAACGAAACGGUUACGGAUAAUACCCGUGACUACUGACGGUACCGGAAGAAGAAGCACCGGCUAACUACGUGCCAGCAGCCGCGGUAAUACGUAGGGUGCAAGCGUUAAUCGGAAUUACUGGGCGUAAAGCGUGCGCAGGUGGUUUUGUAAGUCAGAUGUGAAAUCCCCGGGCUUAACCUGGGAACU
This 423-nucleotide ribosomal RNA is filed under the name uncultured bacterium. RNAcentral describes it as "bacterial SSU rRNA". It matches the Rfam family "Bacterial small subunit ribosomal RNA", at positions 207 to 622 of the family's 1533-position model. The record is from RNAcentral.